Molecule: microRNA precursor, 71 nt
Filed under: Tupaia belangeri chinensis (Chinese tree shrew)
Lineage: Eukaryota; Metazoa; Chordata; Mammalia; Scandentia; Tupaiidae
Description: Tupaia chinensis (Chinese tree shrew) mir-631 microRNA precursor family
Rfam family: mir-631 microRNA precursor family
Source: Rfam by way of RNAcentral
GGGCACCUGGUAGACCUGGCCCAGCCCUCAGCUAGCUCAGCUGAUGGACUGAGCCAGGGGGCCAAGUUCCC